GACCUAACUACUGCCAGUCCUCCUCUUUUUUUUGCUGAGGAAGCCUGGCCCUGAGCUAGCAUCCAUGCCCAUCUUCCUCUACUUUAUAUGUGGGAUGCCUGCCACAGCAUGGCUUGCCAAGCAGUGCCGUGUCUGCACCUGGGAUCUGGGCCGCCGAACCCCGGGCCGCCAAAGUGGAACAUGCGCACUUAACCACCGUGCCACUGGGCUGGCCCCUCUUCUUUUACUUCUGAAACCCGACUCUUCUGCUGCUGAUCUUAUAAAGGACCCAUCACUUCUUGGAUCAGAAUCAUCAUAUCCGGGCUUCUUCAAGAACAAUGCUGACUGCUUGCCUCACAUCUGGUUGACUGCUGACGAGUCCUCCUUCUGUGUCCACCCACUGUCCAGGGUAAGAGGCCGGUGACACCUGAGAUCAUCUGUUGCCUGGACUGUCUUCAGCCAGGACCGGAGGAGGCUUGGGCAUCUCUAAAGCAGUGGAAUUCAUUCUCUGUGUGUCCUUCGUGAAGAGCGCAGGCCGCUUGUCUCCCCUCUGCCUUUCCUUACAGGCAACUGGCAGCGGCUGAAAUUUCUCCACUCGUGGCCCACUCCUCUGUGUCUGGGUUCCAUGUUCAGUGCAAAAGUCCUGGGAGGCGCUGUAGUCUUCAGGAGUGACACUUCCUAUUCCCAGAAAGUCGGGGACCAGCCUGGGAGGACUUGGUAACUUCCCCAGGACAUAGAGAACUGCAGGGGAAUAAAGAACAUAGCUCCCAUCAGACAAUGAGAAAAAGUCUACAAAUCAUAACUUUUCUUGAAGCCAUCAGAGAACUAAGGUUACAGGCAACAAAAUGAACUGAAUUCCGAAGAGAGACCAGCCGCUAUGAGAAGAGAUAAGACACAGAAAUUAUUUCACCUUUGGCCAAGACUGGCUACAUAAUUUAUGGGACCCAGUGAAAACUGAAAAUGUGGGGACUUUUUGAGUAUGGGUGCUGUUGAAUGCACAGCUCAAACGCCUUCAGGUGGGUCCUGUCUUUGGCAGAGAACAUGAGGAAGAAGUGACCACCAUCAUUAUGGGCGAAAAGAAGGGAACUAAAAUUUGAUGCAUCCCUAAAGGUUGAAUAUGGGCUACCCCAUCCGUUUAGAAUGCCUGGGAGUCUCAGAUAUAUGAAGAGUUUGUACUCACAAGCCCUUUUCCAUGGGCCUCCACAAGAAAGACUGGGCAUAGUGCAGGAGACCAGAGAGUGCGACCCUUGAUGGGGCAGGCAUUCCAGACAAUGC
This 1254-nucleotide long non-coding RNA is filed under the name Equus caballus (horse). RNAcentral's name for it is "lncRNA (ENSECAG00000047227.1)". The record is from RNAcentral. Lineage: Eukaryota; Metazoa; Chordata; Mammalia; Perissodactyla; Equidae.